GUCUUCGGCCAUGCCACCCUGAACAAGCCCGAUCCUGUCUGAUCUCGGAAGCUAAGCAGGGUCGGGCCUGGUUAGUACUUGGAUGGGAGACCACCUAGGAAGACCAGGUGCCGUAGGCA
This 119-nucleotide ribosomal RNA is filed under the name Pteropus alecto (black flying fox). Lineage: Eukaryota; Metazoa; Chordata; Mammalia; Chiroptera; Pteropodidae. The record is from RNAcentral.